Molecule: ribosomal RNA, 440 nt
Filed under: uncultured bacterium
Lineage: Bacteria
Description: partial 16S ribosomal RNA
Rfam family: Bacterial small subunit ribosomal RNA
Source: RNAcentral
CCUACGGGAGGCAGCAGUGGGGAAUAUUGGGCAAUGGGCGCAAGCCUGACCCAGCAACGCCGCGUGAAGGAAGAAGGCUUUCGGGUUGUAAACUCCUUUUGUUAGAGAAGAUAAUGACGGUAUCUAACGAAUAAGCACCGGCUAACUCCGUGCCAGAAGCCGCGGUAAUACGGAGGGUGCAAGCGUUACUCGGAAUCACUGGGCGUAAAGAGCGCGUAGGCGGGUUAGCAAGUCAGAUGUGAAAUCCUAUGGCUUAACCGUAGAAGUGCAUUUGAAACUGUUAUUCUAGAGUAUGGGAGAGGUAGGUGGAAUUCUUGGUGUAGGGGUAGAAUCCGUAGAUAUCAAGAGGAACACUCAUGGCGAAGGCGGCCUGCUGGAACGCAACUGACGCUGAGGCGCGAAAGCGUGGGGAGCAAACAGGAUUAGAUACCCGUGUAGUC